Molecule: ribosomal RNA, 172 nt
Filed under: uncultured bacterium
Lineage: Bacteria
Description: partial 16S ribosomal RNA
Rfam family: Bacterial small subunit ribosomal RNA
Source: RNAcentral
ACUCCUACGGGAGGCAGCAGUAGGGAAUUUUCCACAAUGGACGAAAGUCUGAUGGAGCAACGCCGCGUGCAGGAUGAAUGCCUUCGGGUUGUAAACUGCCUUUAUCUGUGACGAAUAUGACGGUAGCAGAUGAAUAAGGAUCGGCUAACUCCGUGCCAGCAGCCGCGGUAAU